GCAUUAUUGAGACCUUAAAAGCUUGGUGCUAACAACAAAUGAGCACUGGCCUGGAAAAUCCACUUCCUCUUAGGCAUGAUGAGGUAGGGAUCUGGAAAGCAAGUUUUAGGUAUUUGCAGAAUCUCCCUGCAUUAAAAAAAAAAAAGAAAGAAAGCAAGCAAGAAAGAAAAAAUGGUCACAGUCAUAUACAGGCUGCUUUCAUGGAAUCAUUCAGUUCUGCAGCCCCUGUAUGUGAUCCAAACCUCUUUGCAUCUCCGACUGCAGCCCAGUACCUGAGGGUCAAGUACCCCACUGAGAGCUCAGAAAGAGAAGCCAGAAAAAGAUAUGGAGCUGGUACGGGUGACUGUUGAGCACAGAUGGCCAGUUAUCGAUGUAAUCUGUGUAUCUGGGAGGCAUGUGCUGUAAGAAGGCAGCUGCUAAACUGAAUUAAGCCACAGUUUUUAAGAAGAGAAAGUGGAUUGGAAACGGAUAGAAGUUUUGAAUGUAUGCGGCUGUGUGAAGCUAUGAUCUAUGGUUAAAAAUCAGGAUGAUAUGCACCAAGAGACUGAGGAUCUUUCCAAAGUACAACCCUACGGAAGCCAGACUCCAAAUAGGAAGCUGCCAAGAUCAAUUCAUUUUGAUAAAUCAACUGUUUCAGAAGGCCAUCUACACUGAAAUACAGCUGCUGUUCUUUUUUUUUCUAACAAAAUGAUCAUGAAGCAAGCAUGAACCAACUAUUACUCAGACUGUUUUACUGAACUAAUGAAUUGCUCUGGGAAGCCUGUUAUGAAGAUGUGUGUUCAAUUAUUACAUACAAACUGGUUAAAAGGAAAUACAUCAUAAUUAGGCUAACAUAUCUACUGUGAUGCAGCCUCUCCUGAUGAAAGAACUCCUUUGAGACAGUGUGGGCACAUUGGGGUACUUUGUGUUUUUCUGUUUAUUGAUUUUCAUCUUUUAUAAUUUGAUGGAUUAACCAACACUGGUUCACAACUGUUCCUUGUCCAGUUUAAUGGAGGAAAAAAAAAAACCCUCUUGGCCUCUUUUAAAAAAUCUUUUCCUAGAUGUGUGAGAGGAAUAAGCAUUUGGUCUCCAGCAAUACUACUGAGAACAUUCACCUAGAUCAAAAUGAGGAAAUGCAUUUCAGCUGUCACUACCAUGUCAUUAUGGCCCCUCCUCUACUGCAUUUCUGUUGCCAAAAAGAAUCCUCACCAGAUCAAAAUGAUUGGAAUCAGGCCCAAGACAGCUGUGGCCUAGAUAAAGAAAACCAAGCGAUUUUCAGUCUCCAAGAUACCAAACAGAAAAUGUCACUGAUGGCCAGUAUUACUCAUCUGAAUGUGACACUUUCUGUACAGUCCUUGGCCUAUUGUUGUUUGCUAGAGUUUAAAGAGGAGAGAGGAGAGGAUUCCAUUUACUUUAAAGCCUUCUACUGCAAAGCUGGGGACUCAGCAAGUGACGCAGAGAAAACUUUGGAAGUCUAUGAAAAGAACCAACAAACCAAUCAACUACAGUGCCCCUUAUUCUAUUAAUGUUAUUGUUCAAGAACUGAGGAGAAACUGGCAUGCACAGAAAUUCUAGACGGGAGAGUAGAAAAGGACAUAUGGAGUACGACUCUUAGAUAUAUUAAAAUGUGACCUCAUAUACUACUGGGGACUCUAAUAAAAGGGAGACUACAUGAAGGAAAAGUCAUCAAGUCACAAGAAGUUUGGGUACUGGUAUGAAAUUAAUCCUUUUAGAGCUACCCAUAUUUAAGAUGGCUUCACAGGUGGCUCGGUGGUAAAGAAUCUGCCUGCCAGUGCAGGAGAUACAAGAGAUGCAGGUUCAAUCCCUGAGUCAGGAAGAUUCCCUGGAGAAGGAAAUGGAAACCCACUCCAGCGUUCUUGUCUGGGAAAUUCCCUUGCUUUCUCUGAAAUAAGAUAAUUACACCAUGUAGGAGAUAACGUGUAAAAGUGUGGUAUUCUUGGAAGAACAGUGUUAAAAGAGUCCAGUCAUGAGCAACUCAAGAGUGCUCCCCAACCUUUCUCAUCUCACAAGAUACAUGAAGUUAAUGAUUGUGUAGACAAGGCACAAUAGGUGUGAGGUUGCUCCAGCUGCAAGCUGCCAUCCUGAGGACUGACAGCAUAAAUUUCUCAGAUAUAUUAUGAAGCUAUUCACAUGGGAGGGCUUCCCUGGUGAGUAAGCGGUAAAGAAUCCACCUGCCAAAGCAGGAGACACGGGUUUGGUCCCUGGGUGGAGAAGAUCCCCUGGAGGAGGCUAUGGCAACCAACACCAGUAUUCUUCUUGCCUGGAGAAUCCCAUGGACAGAGGAACCUGGAAGGCUACAGUCCAUAGGAUCACAAGGAAUUGGACACGACAGAAGCGACUUAGCAGCAGCAGCAGCAGCAGAGCAACUCAGCACACACACAUGCAUUCACAUGGGAAGCUUUGCUGUACAGCAGAGGAUAUUAACCUUUCUUGUGCCUUUGAGUGUGUUAGUCAGUUGUAUCUGACUCUGUGCAACCCCACGAACUGGGACCCACCAGGCUUCUCUGCCCAUGGAAUUUUCCAGGCUAGACUACCGGAGUAGGUGUCCAUUCCCUUCUCCAGGUCUUUGUGCCUUGCACCCCUUUCUACCUGGUGAUGCCUAUGGAUCCCAUCUCAGAAUAAUAUUUUUAAAUGCAUAAAAUAAAAUUCAUGAGAUUAAAAAGGAAACUGUAUAUUAAAAUACAGUUUAAAAUAUUAAAAGUCGAGUGUAUGAUAUAGCCUUUUUUAUUAAAACAGGAAAUAAGAAGAUCUAGUGACAAGUCUAGUAACUGCCAUAAUUUCAAAGUACCUGUGACAGCGGGUAAUAUCUGCAACAAUCACACUGUGAUGAUAUCAAAACAUUUAUUAUUUGUAUGAAAGACAAAAUCAUGAGUGUUGCUAAUAUAACAGUGUUUUAUCUUGUAACUUAAAUUCACAGUUGAAGGAUACGCCAACUUUGAGUCUGAAGUGAAAAGAAAUAAGCAUGACAUUUUUUUUUUAAUCCAACAAAUUCCUUGAUUUUUCUCUGUCAAUCUAAUGCUGAACCCUGCUUUAAAAGAAGAAAGGUACAGGAAAAAUUCAACAUUCAGAAAACUAAAAUCAUGGCAUCUGGUCCCAUCACUUCACAGCAAACAGAUGAGGAAACAAUGGAAACAGUGACAGACUUUAUUUUCUUGGGCUCCAAAAUCACUGCAAACGGUGACUACAGCCAUGAAAUUAAAAGAUGCUUGUUCUUUAGAAGGAAAGCUAUGACAAACCUAGACAGAGUAUUAAAAGCAGAGACAUCACUUGCUGACAAAGGUCCCUGUAAGUCAAAUAUAACUUAUAGGACCCUUAGGGACCUUAAUAAGUUUUUCCAGUAGUCAUGUACGAAUGUGAGAGUUGAACCAUAAAGAAGGCUGAGCACUGAAGAACUGAUGCUUUUGAACUGUGGUGUUGGAGACAACUCUUGAGAGUCCCUUGGACUGCAAGGAGAUCAAAUAAGUCAAUCCUACAGGA
Long non-coding RNA from Bos taurus (domestic cattle), 3477 nucleotides. The record is from Ensembl. Lineage: Eukaryota; Metazoa; Chordata; Mammalia; Artiodactyla; Bovidae.